GCUUGCUUCAGCAGUACACAAAAUUGGAACAAUACAGGGANGAUUNGCAUGGCCCCUGUGCAAGGAUGGCAUGCAAAUUGGUGAAGCGUUCCCUAUUUUU
RNAcentral lists this small nuclear RNA (100 nucleotides) under Salvator merianae (Argentine black and white tegu). Lineage: Eukaryota; Metazoa; Chordata; Lepidosauria; Squamata; Teiidae. The record is from RNAcentral.